Astatotilapia calliptera (eastern happy) is the source of this 1811-nucleotide long non-coding RNA. The record is from Ensembl. NCBI's taxonomy places the organism in Eukaryota, Metazoa, Chordata, Actinopteri, Cichliformes, Cichlidae.
CAGAGGACUUUGAAGCUUUUCUCAAUGCACGGGGGGUACAGCCAGCAGAACGUGGCCAUCCUGUCCACAAGGAAGACAUCCAGAGUCGGCAAGGCCUCCAGGCUCUCUCCAGCUCUAUAGAGACCCUGGCCGACCUGUCGGAUCUGUGCUUCCAGGACCUGAUGGUCCCCAGUCUGCCCAGCUUGGACAGCUCAAUGAUUGACUAUCUUUUGGCAUGACUGACAAAACUGAGAGCAACAUAUUGAAGACUACGACAUGAAUGGGUCCACGUCCAACAACACGUCCGUUUGUGUAACAGCUACGAGCCAGCCUGCAGCAGGAUGUCUGCUACAUCAGUGUAUCCGUUCUCACACCCAUACGUCUACGCUGUGUCGCCAGUUGCCGUGGUGGCCUCCACUAGUGCACCCAUUCGGUGAUGUCGCGGUCUUUCAAAGUGUUGCGCUAAUUUUUUUUUUUUUUUUUUUUUUUUUUUGGACAAAGGUGCCGAGUCUACCUUGGGGAGGUGGUAACUGUGACUUAUGCUAUUCGUUAUCUAUUUAAGAAACACUAGUAUGAUGCACAUCAGAUGAUUUCACAUGUCCUUUUUGCACAUAGUUUGUUUAUAUUUUGGAUGGGGUUGCAAAGAUAACGUUUAGCACUUGACUCAAAGCUGUCCUUGCUGAGUGGGCUUCAGCGGAGUCCCGGAAAAAAAGUAAAUGAGACGCACUUGUUUCCAACUGAAACUCGGUACCAGAUAUGUUACAAGGUAUGCCAACUGCUGUGACGGGGAAAUGGGACACGAAUGACCAGAUCGCCUUUUUUUUAUUUUUUUAUUUUUAUUUUUAUUUUUUUUUUGGGGGGGGGGUAUAUUUCACGAUUUUCAUGGCAGGCCGUGGAGAUCUGUAAUGUAAAUAAAAUGCAUAUUACGUUAUGUACAUAACAUUGUUAAUAGUAUUUUUUACUAAUAAAUGUGUCCUGAACAAGUCUCUCAGGCUGUGUGUUAUCAUUCAUAAACUCUUCUUGAGGUCAGGAAUCACGUGGCGCCGUGGCUUAGUUGGUUAAAGCGCCUGUCUAGUAAACAGGAGAUCCUGGGUUCGAAUCCCAGCGGUGCCUUUUUGUUUUCUGUUUUGAUUAAAGUAAACUUUUAAACACUCCCGUAACAUUAAAUGUUGCGACACUGACGCAAAUCAGAUUUUUAUUCAUUUUUAUAAAACCUCAAAAUAGUGUGUAUUUGGGUUUUUUGUUUUUUUUUUUUUUUUUUUUUUUUUUUUUUCCCACUGAUGCAACAGUUCGAUAAUAUCAGGUUAUGUUAAAAACAUCUGUAGUGGUUUAUAAAUUAAACCUUAAUACAAAUUUCCUAAUGCCUUUUCAAAGUUGUAACACAGCUUCUUAUUGUAUUUAUUUUUGAUAUAUUUUCCCUUGUACCGGCCUAUUGCCCAACAGAGGGCGCUGCUUUUUUUUUUUUUUUUUUUUCUUUUUUUUUUUUCCACCUGAAGAGGUCAGCACAGGAUUACGGCAGCCUCUUGUAGGGAUACUCAUGAAUUCACUGAACAGAGGCCUGUAUGUGUGCGCGCAUAUUCAGUUGUAUGUUGCAUUUGUAAAAACCAGGUCAGGCUACCCCAAAAGCUUGAUUCAGUCCCACUAGAUACAGCAUUUUCAGGGGGAGGAAAGUGACCUCUUCAGUCUGCAGGUUUCCCUAAGCUUAUAAACAUUACAUCUGCCCUAAUUUAUGUGUAAAAGGAACCGCAACUGAACUAAGUAAAUCUUUCACCAUCUUCUAAUGCUGUGAUAGCAGCCAUUCCCUAACUCUGUAAAUGAGUGGCUAUUUGCAU